GUAGAGGAGAUGGCGCAGGGG
This 21-nucleotide non-coding RNA is filed under the name Capra hircus (goat). Its record names the gene chi-miR-877-5p. The record is from miRBase by way of RNAcentral. RNAcentral also lists the same sequence under 1 other name. Lineage: Eukaryota; Metazoa; Chordata; Mammalia; Artiodactyla; Bovidae.